UACAGAGGUCUCAAGCGUUGUUCGGAUUCAUUGGGCGUAAAGGGUGCGUAGGCGGCGCGGUAAGUCGGGUGUGAAAUCUCGGAGCUUAACUCCGAACUGCGUUCGAUACUGCCGUGCUUGAGGACUGGAGAGGAGACUGGAAUUUACGGUGUAGCGGUGAAAUGCGUAGAUAUCGUAAGGAAGACCAGUGGCGAAGGCGGGUCUCUGGACAGUUCCUGACGCUGAGGCACGAAGGUCAGGGGAGCAAACGGG
Molecule: ribosomal RNA, 252 nt
Filed under: uncultured bacterium
Lineage: Bacteria
Description: partial 16S ribosomal RNA
Rfam family: Bacterial small subunit ribosomal RNA
Source: RNAcentral